Molecule: long non-coding RNA, 512 nt
Organism: Pseudophryne corroboree (corroboree frog)
Lineage: Eukaryota; Metazoa; Chordata; Amphibia; Anura; Myobatrachidae
Exons: 2
Source: RefSeq, a predicted model, not a curated record
AAUCGCGUCAUCAACUGCCCGGACCGCCCACUUUACACACUAAGUGGGCGGACGGGCAGGGGGGACCCCACGAAUCGGGAGACUUGCCUGCUCUUCCGGGGGGCCGGGAGGGUCACCCGAUUUUCGGGAGCCUCCCGGCCAUUCCGGGAGAGUAGGCAAGUAUGAGCUGGAGGGUAUGCAACUGCCACCUGACUUAGUGGCAGCUCAGGAGCCGUGCUGUGUGGAGUCCGCAGUGGAGCCGAGGAAGCAUGCAGUGUGCAGCGACUGACACACAGAGGACCAUUCUUGAUCUUGUCUCCUGCGUCCAACACAAAGCACUCGUCAGUCAGGAGCAUGGACAUAGAGAACGGACUUUCUUCUGAAACCACAGUAAUCUCCAUGGAGCCGCUCGCAUCUGAGACCUGCAAUAUAAAUGCAAUAUAAAUACUCGUGUACAGUAAAAAUUAAUGUAUAUAAUAAACUGCAAGGUGCGAUACAUACGUAAAAUACACAACAAUAGCUAAAUAUUACAA